UGUGACGCUGCGGCAGGCUUAACACAUGCAAGUCGAGGGGUAUAUGUCUUCGGAUAUAGAGACCGGCGCACGGGUGCGUAACGCGUAUGCAAUCUACCUUUUACAGAGGGAUAGCCCAGAGAAAUUUGGAUUAAUACCUCAUAGCAUAGCGACUUCGCAUGAAGCAACUAUUAAAGUCACAACGGUAAAAGAUGAGCAUGCGUCCCAUUAGCUAGUUGGUAAGGUAACGGCUUACCAAGGCUACGAUGGGUAGGGGUCCUGAGAGGGAGAUCCCCCACACUGGUACUGAGACACGGACCAGACUCCUACGGGAGGCAGCAGUGAGGAAUAUUGGACAAUGGGCGCAAGCCUGAUCCAGCCAUGCCGCGUGCAGGAUGACGGUCCUAUGGAUUGUAAACUGCUUUUGUACGAGAAGAAACACUCCAACGUGUUGGAAGCUUGCGGUUCGUAGAAUAAGGUCGGGUAAAUCUUGCAUCAGCCCCGUAUCGAAGUCCAGCGUUUCCGAUCAUGGUUAAAGGGCCGAGCGUUAUACUAGUGGGAACCUCUACGGGACGCCUUCCGUAAUGAUUUUGAGACAUUAGGACGGA
This 587-nucleotide ribosomal RNA is filed under the name Flavobacterium sp. A32. Its description in RNAcentral is "bacterial SSU rRNA". The stretch from base 5 to 499 matches the Rfam family "Bacterial small subunit ribosomal RNA", at positions 33 to 541 of the family's 1533-position model. The record is from RNAcentral. Lineage: Bacteria; Pseudomonadati; Bacteroidota; Flavobacteriia; Flavobacteriales; Flavobacteriaceae.